Molecule: long non-coding RNA, 199 nt
Filed under: Lathyrus oleraceus (garden pea)
Lineage: Eukaryota; Viridiplantae; Streptophyta; Magnoliopsida; Fabales; Fabaceae
Description: Pisum sativum (pea) long non-coding RNA (PSAT_LNC037404)
Source: RNAcentral
UUUCUAUCACUCCUGUGUUGAAGAUAAUUCUUCCCCAGUUGAGUUUGAUUCAUGUAGUUCAGUUUUGUUAUGAUUUACCUGUUUCCCCCGCGGAUUUUCCUUUUAUCCCCGACUGAGUCCUUCUGUUGAUUUAUUAUCAUGGAAUCCUCUUGUGUCCCCCAACAUUCAUUUUUUAAGUCGUAGUCUGGCCUACCUACAA